This 253-nucleotide unclassified non-coding RNA is filed under the name uncultured Acidobacteriota bacterium. RNAcentral describes it as "uncultured Acidobacteria bacterium contains 16S-23S intergenic spacer region". It matches the Rfam family "Bacterial small subunit ribosomal RNA", at positions 524 to 776 of the family's 1533-position model. The record is from RNAcentral. Lineage: Bacteria; Pseudomonadati; Acidobacteriota.
UACGGAGGGGGCAAGCGUUAUUCGGAAUUAUUGGGCGUAAAGGGCGCGUAGGCGGUGAGGUAUGUCGAAGGUGAAAUCCCACAGCUCAACUGUGGAACUGCCUUCGAAACUGCCUGACUAGAGUCCGGGAGAGGGUAGCGGAAUUCCCAGUGUAGCGGUGAAAUGCGUAGAUAUUGGGAGGAACACCAGUGGCGAAGGCGGCUACCUGGACCGGUACUGACGCUGAGGCGCGAAAGCGUGGGGAGCAAACAGG